ACUCAAAGGAAUUGACGGGGGCCCGCACAAGCGGUGGAGCAUGUGGUUUAAUUCGAUGCAACGCGAAGAACCUUACCUACCCUUGACAUCCCCGGAAUCUUGCAGAGAUGCGAGAGUGCCGAAAGGAACCGGGAGACAGGUGCUGCAUGGCUGUCGUCAGCUCGUGUUGUGAGAUGUUGGGUUAAGUCCCGUAACGAGCGCAACCCUUAUCCUUAGUUGCCAACGCGUAAUGGCGGGGACUCUAAGGAGACUGCUGGUGAUAAACCGGAGGAAGGUGGGGACGACGUCAAGUCAUCAUGGCCUUUAUGGGUAGGGCUACACACGUGCUACAAUGGGGCGUACAGAGGGUUGCCAACCUGCGAAGGGGAGCCAAUCUCAGAAAGCGUCUCGUAGUCCGGAUCGAAGUCUGCAACUCGACUUCGUGAAGUCGGAAUCGCUAGUAAUCGCGAAUCAGAAUGUCGCGGUGAAUACGUUCCCGGGCCUUGCACACACCGCCCGU
This 499-nucleotide ribosomal RNA is filed under the name uncultured bacterium. RNAcentral's name for it is "partial 16S ribosomal RNA". It matches the Rfam family "Bacterial small subunit ribosomal RNA", at positions 899 to 1397 of the family's 1533-position model. The record is from RNAcentral.